RNAcentral lists this unclassified non-coding RNA (300 nucleotides) under uncultured Inocybe. Its description in RNAcentral is "partial contains 5.8S ribosomal RNA, internal transcribed spacer 2, and large subunit ribosomal RNA". The record is from RNAcentral. Lineage: Eukaryota; Fungi; Basidiomycota; Agaricomycetes; Agaricales; Cortinariaceae.
AACGCAUCUUGCGCUUCUUGGUAUUCCAGGAAGCAUGCCUGUUUGAGUCUCAGUUGACUCUCUGACCGCUUCGGCGGCCAGGAUCUGAGCGGACCAGCGGUUAACGCUCGCCGCUCUAAACGCAUGCAGCCGGCCUCUAGAGUGUUGGACUCGGAAUGGCUUGAUAAUGUCUUUGACUUAUUAGUUAUCCGGAUUCUGCGUCUCCUUAGGCCAAGGCGCCAGAUUGUUUGUGCCUGCGAAAGCGGCGCUCACACUCGACACCUUGAGCUCAAAUCAGGCAAGACUACCCGCUGAACUUAA